RNAcentral lists this ribosomal RNA (301 nucleotides) under uncultured bacterium. RNAcentral describes it as "partial 16S ribosomal RNA". It matches the Rfam family "Bacterial small subunit ribosomal RNA", at positions 509 to 809 of the family's 1533-position model. The record is from RNAcentral.
CAGCCGCCGCGGUAAUACAGAGGGUGCGAGCGUUAAUCGGAUUUACUGGGCGUAAAGCGUGCGCAGGCGGUUAUAUAAGACAGAUGUGAAAUCCCCGGGCUCAACCUGGGAACUGCAUUUGUGACUGUAUAGCUAGAGUACGGCAGAGGGGGAUGGAAUUCCGCGUGUAGCAGUGAAAUGCGUAGAUAUGCGGAGGAACACCGAUGGCGAAGGCAAUCCCCUGGGCCUGUACUGACGCUCAUGCACGAAAGCGUGGGGAGCAAACAGGAUUAGAUACCCGCGUAGUCCUGUCUCUUAUACA